Non-coding RNA from Carica papaya (papaya), 664 nucleotides. The record is from RefSeq and is a predicted model, not a curated record. NCBI's taxonomy places the organism in Eukaryota, Viridiplantae, Streptophyta, Magnoliopsida, Brassicales, Caricaceae.
UAGACCAGAGGCGAACACACCUCUGGCCAGGGAAGAGAAGGAGGCAUGUACCCCUCUUCUAUCGAACGACAAAGAGGAAAAAGAGACGUGCAGGACUCCUCUUGCUUCUCCCUACAAAAAAGAGAGUUGUGAGGAGAGAGAGGGAGAGAGAGAAAGAAAGAAAGAGAGAGAGAGAGAGAGAGAGAGAGAGAAAGAGAGAGACAUAAUAGUAAAUGAGUUAGGGGAACCAGAGAAGGAGAUUGACAGCAGCAUGGGCAACUUAUCCCGUCGUGACCAGGCAGAAGAGAGGGAUCAAUCGGCAGCCGUGUGUCAUCCUAGAUCUGUACAACUAAUAACUACAUGAAGCCAGAAGAUGAAGAGACAAUAUGCAUGGCAGAAGAAGAGGAAAACUCGCAAUGCGCACGAGGCAGUCUGUUGUGAUUUUUGACUAGUUGUGGCAAUCUUGGCGUAACAUGUGGUGGUUCGGCAAUGGCAAGUGUGAGCGCCAGUGACAAGGCAUGGAAGCACAUAUGGAGAUUUUGAUGGUUACACAUGGGUAGAUUUUGCAUUUAGGAAAUUUUUUAGGAAUCAAAUUCGAGAGUGGAAAAAGUUAAGUGCAUAUAUACUUAUAAAUAAUUUGAUAUGUUGAUUAAUUAACAAUAUCUAUUAGGCAAUUUUUAAUUAA